This is a non-coding RNA of Cyanistes caeruleus (blue tit), 2025 nucleotides long. The record is from RefSeq and is a predicted model, not a curated record. Lineage: Eukaryota; Metazoa; Chordata; Aves; Passeriformes; Paridae.
AUUCAAUCCCAGGAAUAUCAGAGAGCUUCCAAAGUCUUUUUUGCCCACAUAAAAGUGACAACCAUCUCUUUAUAAAAACUUCAUAGUUCCUGGACUUUUAAACAGGAAAAUACUCCUUUUCUAAAGUCUGUGAAUUGAAGCUCUGUCCAACUUACUGAAUUCCUCUGGGAAAAUCUUUGGAUAAGGAUCUGACACUGAGAUUUGAACCACCUCAGGGCUUCCAGAGGUGAACUGCCAGGGUGAUUACUUUAUUCCACAUUGAAAUAGUCUCCAGAACCUGGAGCUGGGCCACUUCUCAUUUAGCUGAUGUUCCUCAAAAACCCAGGGAAUCCUGUAACAGUCUGUUACAAGUCUCAGCAUUCCAAAAAAGCUCCAAAAUCUUGGAUAUGAGAACUUGAAGACUGUGUUGAUUAUAUCUUGUCUUUGUUCCCCCAAGGAUGUGCUCAAGCAGUUGUCCAAUUGUAGGGGAGAAGAAAGUUCUGAGAACUUUUAUAAACUUAUGGGAGUUGAGGCUUUGCAAGGACCCACAGCUUGGCUGAAGUUGGGCAGGUCUCACUGGGAAGGAAGUGUGAGAGAGACAUUUCCCAGCCCUCUGGAUCUGCCUGCUGGGAGCAGGCUCAAAGAUGUUUUACUUCAUGUCCAAAGCCCUCAGUGGUGUCAUCUGGCCAGACUGUCCCUUGGAGCUGGUGUUCUGAGGAGGAAGAAUCUCUGAGAAAGGCACAAAUGGAAUGGAUUUGGCAGAUUACCAGACUUGGCUGACUUUUGCAGCAGAAGCCACCAGCCAAGGGCAGCUCUAGCACUGAAGUGGUUUUGUGGAGAGGAGCACUGGGUGUGCUGGGCCUUCAUCCCUCUCACAUCUUGAUCUGCCUCUUGCUGGCACCACUUAUGGGGCAGAAAGAGACCUCAGAAAACACGGAGGCUUUGCCACCCCCCUGAUACAGCUGUUCCUAUCCAAAGCAUCACAGUAAAUGGAGUUUUAAUCUCACAGACAGAUGUGCAGAGAGUGAAAUGAUGCAGAGAAGCUCACAAGGCUCAGACCUGCUUUCCUGGCCACAGAGGAGCUGGGUAUGUUCUGUCUGGGAUGGUGCUAAACUUAAGCAGUUUGGUGAGGGACAUCUCCCAGGACCUGUGUGAUACAGAACGAGUGUGAGGGGCAGGCAUGGGUUUCCAGCAGGAGGUUGCUUCAUAUUUAGCUGAAUUCUUCUCCUGAGUGACCUUUUGGGGUGUGAUUAAUCCCUGGGCUAUGCAUGCACAGAUGGGUUUUGUUGUCUAGACUGUGCUUUGUCGUAUCAGUUCCUGGCAGUCUCAUCUACGUACAAGUUAAACGUUUUUUAUUUUUUUUUUCAUAGUUGUACUGUUAGAAAACUCCAGAGUGAAUCAUGGUCAUAAUGUCAUGUAUUUUCUUCCACAGCCAGCCAUUUUUAGGUUGAUCCAUACAUUUAUAUUGCAGGAUGUCUCUGAAGACAUGAGAAUCACCUCUCUGAUUGAUUCUCCCUCCUUGCAUCACCUUUAGGGCUGCUUCAGACAAAGAUACUCCUGAAUUGGUGAGGAAGAUGGAGUUUUAUAAUGGAGAAAUAGUCUGUUGAUAGUAGUUAAUCUCCUUGUUUAAAGAAAAAAGACCCGUUUCAUCUUCUAAUUUAAUGAUAAAUUGCAGUGAUUCAUCAGGGAAGGAGGGUUUAUUAAUAGAGAGGAUAAUAAAUGGGCUGCAGAGAGAUAUGAGAAAAUAGUUUUGUCAAAUAAGGGAGUUAGAGGGGGAAAAAAGCAGAGCUUGAGGUUAGAACUGGAAUCUUCAGAAUCACUGGUACCUCUCUGCACCCCACACAUCAAAUCAAGGACCUUCUCUCCUUGUGCCAGAUUUAACUGCAUUAGGUUAAAUUGAGACUGUAAAUGAUCCAAGAACAGAAAUGUUCUAUCUAUGACAUGUCUCCAGAUCCAGAACAGGCAUGAAAAUACUCUAGGAAUGUUCUGAGUUGAAGGGGAGCUGGAACUGUCUAUGAAUUUGUGUUGAACUUAGGGAAUUGCUUC